GCUGUCUCCCUCUCUGAGAGAGGAGAAGAGACAGAGGGAAGAGGGAGGGGAGGAGAGAGAGGGAGAGGGAGAGGGAGAGGGGAGAGAGGGAAUGGCCUGUGUUGGGGUUUGGAUGAGUCAGUGGUGGGCCCAGUCAGCAACAGCUGGGUCUCUAGUGUCGCUUUAUCUCCCAGCCAAUCCCAAUGCUCUGCCUUCCAGCCUUCCAGCCUCCCAGCUUCCAGCCUCCCAACCUCCAAGCUUCCAGUCUCCCAGCUCCUAGCCUCCCAGCUCAUAGCCUCUCAGCUUCCAGCCUCCCAGCCUCCAGCCUUCCAGCCUCCAGCUUUCCAGCCUCCGAGCUUCGAGCCUCCUAGCUUCCAGCCUGUCAGCCUUUCAGCCUCCUAGCCUCCAAGGCUCCCAGCUUCCAGCCCAGUCUGAGUUAUGACAGCUCAGGGAUGGCAAGCAGCCUAAUUACAAUGGCUGAUUGCCUCUCUACUUGCCUCUCUAUUUCUUACAAGGCGAUUGUCAUGUGCGUGAGCAGGUCUGGAGACCCGGAGGAAUAGGAAGAGGGAGGAUUUUCAUUGGCUCGCCUCUCUUCCUCUCUUGGUUCAGGGCAAAGAGAAGUUUUUUUUAUGACAUUUGGCUGGAAGCCAGCGAGACAGGUGAUUUUGUUGCACAAUGGUAGAUUAUAGCUGUUCAGUCUUUGGCGCCAUUACAUUUGUGAGUUGUAUCAAAGUAAUGUCAUGCAGGGGAGAGACUGGAUUAUGAUUUUUUUUGCACAGUAUAAUUUCUGAAGUAAUUGAUCUUGAAACCAUCUUAUUUUACUGUCCUGGAAAGUUGGUGACUUCUAACCGCAAGAGAUAAAGAAAUAUCCAUAGGAAGCCUUUUAGAGGGUUUAGAAAUCAGGGCAGAAUUAUUAUUAUUGAGCAUAUUUAUUUCCAAAAGGACAGAAGUAAGGCCUUGAAUUGGCCGUUUGUAUGUAAGUCUGUCAGAGAGAGCACUGUGAAGUGUGAUGUGUGUGUUAAGUGGGAGCUGCUUUGGGUUGGUCUGGACGGCUUUGUCUACUGCUUUGGCUUUUGUUCCUAUAGUAAUGAAUUGUGGAGGCCUUGGCUUGAGUCGGCCUGUCUCACAGCAACUAAAGACAGAGUGCUGGCAAGGCAAAGGGAGAGAAGGGCAGAGAGGAUCAUGGGUGUAUGUUUGUCUCUCUGGGGGCAGACAGACAAACAGACAGACAGACCACGCCGUGUCAGUCUAGCACAGUGAAGAAUACUUUGUUCUGCAUGCAAAGAGGAUAUAAACUUAUUUGCUUUGUAUCAUAUUAUCUAUUACCUCCAGAUAACACAAAGAUUGACCACGAAGAUCACAAUUGUUUUAUUCACUAUAAUGAGGGAUCCUGUUUUCUGCUAACAAUCUCUGCAAUACCGCGGUCAGCCUUGAACUUCCGUGGCUUCAGUGAGAGAGGGGCAGUUGUUCUCCCCUGAGCUAACCUGAUUAAGCAGAGGUUGACGUUACUAAAUCCUUUUGAACAUCAAGUUCUGUUGUUGAUUAAUGAAAAGCCUGUUCCCCUGUAUAUUCAUAUGCAGACCGCUGCAGCCUAGCCAUGUUGACCCUGUGACCCAGACACUACCUGUCUGCUGACAUGGUUACAAGGAUGGAGCAGGUUCAGGGGCCUGACUCCAGGGAUCACUUUGCCUGCGUUAACAAUCAGCAUUGCACCCUCACGGCAGUAAAACAACCACCCUGCUGCCUCACGGGCCAGGAGAGACCGAUCUAAUCUCGAAGAGCUCUGCGAACAGUGAGCACUGGGUGUCUGACACCAUUUGAAAGCGCUUCUUUGGUUUGCAAUGGCCUAACGAACUGGCUCACAGUAUGAAGCAUUGGGCUUUGUUGUGAAGGGAAAAUAUCUUGUCACUUUUUCUGAUGUUGUAUUUCAUCCGAUGGAUUGUUAGCACUGACUUUGUUGUUCAAAGGGCUUUGUGCUGUGACUUAGAUACCAUAUUUAAUGAUAUGUAUUUUGUCCCCAGUGUUACAUAGAGUGACCAGGAUGAAGAGAGAACUGAUUCAAUAGACUAGAAGAAAUGCAGUGACUUGCACUGUUGCAGGUGUCCACCAGAUGCUGCAUGCAGAUAGAGAGGCAAGCGAAGCCGGCAGAGAGGCAAGCAGACUGCACUGUCUCAGGUCUUGCCAGGAAAUGCAUUGGAUGGAGAUGUAACAUCCACUUCUAAUCAAGAUCCUGUGGGCAGGAUUGGAACAGCAAGUGGCUCUCCAGGGACAGUACAGACUGUAGGAUCAAAAAUGAUUUAUUUCUUUGUGCGUCAUGCAAACCAAUCAAUUCUUGCCUCACAAUUAAACAUAAUUAACAUGAAGUGGCAUGACUUGCUAUGCUUUUUUUUUUUUACAUGUUGGAAGUUACUGGUGUAGCCCUUCACACGUGUCUUUAUACAGGUGGAAAAUGGCAGAUUUGGGCACUGAUAAAUGCCUAAAUCGGAACAUAAUGGCUGUACAGUAACAUGCUAUACAUGACGUCAAAGCUAUUUCUCUGCGCUUCACAGUGCUGUAUGGGUUUUGACUGACAAAUCAAAUACAUUUUUAUUUGUCACAUGCGCCGAAUACAACAGGUGUAGUAGACCUUACAGUGAAAUGCUUACUUACAAGCCCUUAACCAACAAUGCAGUUAAAAAAAUACCCCACAAAAUAAGAAUAAGUAAUAAAAGUAACAAAUAAUUUAAGAGCAGCAGUAAAUAACAAUAGCGAGGCUAUAUGCAGGGGGUACCGGAACAGAGUCAAUGUGCGGGGGCACCAGUUAGUCGAGGAAAUUGAGGUAAUAUGUACAUGUAGGUAGAGUUAUUAAAGUGACUAUGCAUAGAUAAUAACAGAGAGUAGCAGCAGCGUAAAAGAGAGGGGGGGGGGGGUCAAUGCAAAUAGUCUGGGUAGCCAUUUGAUUAGAUGUUCAGGAGUCUUAUGGCUUGGGGGUAGAAGCUGUUUAGAAGCCUCUUGUACCUAGACUUGGUGCUCCGGUACCGCUUGCCAUGCGGUACCGAAAGGGUCUGUCACAGUAGAGCAACUUAAAGGCCAGUGCACUCAAAAAUGACAUUUCCCUAUGUUUUAUAGAUAUUUCCACACUAUGAGGUUGGAAUAAUUCUGUAAAAUUGUGAAAAUUAUGAUAAUGCCGUUUUAGUGUAAGAGCUGUUUAAAAAGAUCACCUGAAAUUUCAGCCUGUUUUGGUGGGAUGGAGUUUUGGCCUGCCUGGCGAUAUCAACAGGCAGUAUUAGUUAAGAGUUUCAAGCCACUCUGCCAAUAACAGCAAUUUGUUUAGGCUACAUAACCCUCUCAUUAGGCUCGUCCAAUUAGGCCUUCACUCAGACCACUGCCAGACAGUCCUAGCAAAAUUCCUGCUUGAGAAAUUGCUCUUUGCACAGAAGCAAUUUUUUAUUUAAAUUUUUUUAAAUUAAAUUUGGGGAAAAAUAACAGUGAAGUACUUAAUUGUUAACCAGAAAUGAUUUGAUAUUCAGAUAAAAACGGCUGCAUUGGGCCUUUAACAGUGAAGACAGGGACAAAGCCAGGCCUGCGCAAUGCAUGCUGGGAAGUUUGGCUGCCAGAGAAAGUGCCUAAGUUCCAGCCAGCGUGGCUGAAACCCUUGCUAAGGCUGAAAAUGAAGUUUGAGAGUGGAAAUGAGAGGAGCAACAAAAGAGAGAGAGCGAGAGAGCGAGAAAGAGAGAGAGAGCUAAAGUGCUCAUGGCUGUAGGCUCAGUGUGCUCUUAAAGAGAUAUUACCAAAACAUUCCUGAAGCAUUGAGAAAGAAGGGGACAGUACAGUAUAGCACAACUUAGCAGUAUAGACAGCGUUUAGAAUCUUGGUUUACUGCUUUUGUUGGGGAAUAUUUUUGACAGGGACAUUUUCACUAUUCAAGAUUAAAUAAGAAUGUACAAUGUACAAUGUAACACAUUGUUUCAUAGGACUGACUACUUUUAUACCUGAAGAUGCACGAGGUGAAAGAUUUGCACAAAUAAUUUACCAUGUUAUGUGCAAUGUUAAGCAUUAAUGUGACAAGCUAAGGGGAAGGUUUUAGCACAGUUCAUUUUGAAUUAGUUUCCAAAUCUAAUGCUUGUAUAAAAUAAACAAACAGUCAACUAUGUAACAACCUUUUAUUCAAUAGUCAUAUACAAGUUAUUCAAAUGUUCACAAUAAAGUUUAAACAUGUAAUAAUAAUGUAAUUCCAUUUAAUAAUGUUUCCUAUCAACAAAAAGAUCCCCAAACUUUCUCUCCCACCUUCAAGAUAAAAGUGGAAGUUGAACUUGAAUUUGGAAGUUGAACUUCCAUCACAGGUUGUGAUAAAAAACAAGUCAUUGAAACCAUGAACAACAGAUCAACUUUUUCCACAUAGAAUACACUGUACUGUAUUAUAUUUUAUUAUCCGUAUUGUAUUAUAAUUAAAACAUACUAUAUA
Molecule: long non-coding RNA, 4423 nt
Organism: Salvelinus fontinalis (brook trout)
Lineage: Eukaryota; Metazoa; Chordata; Actinopteri; Salmoniformes; Salmonidae
Exons: 2
Source: RefSeq, a predicted model, not a curated record